This 253-nucleotide ribosomal RNA is filed under the name uncultured bacterium. RNAcentral describes it as "partial 16S ribosomal RNA". It matches the Rfam family "Bacterial small subunit ribosomal RNA", at positions 524 to 776 of the family's 1533-position model. The record is from RNAcentral.
UACAGAGGGGGCAAGCGUUAUUCGGAAUUAUUGGGCGUAAAGGGUGCGUAGGCGGCGCGGUAAGUCGGGUGUGAAAUCUCGGAGCUUAACUCCGAAACUGCAUUCGAUACAGCCGUGCUUGAGGACUGGAGAGGAGACUGGAAUUUACGGUGUAGCGGUGAAAUGCGUAGAUAUCGUAAGGAAGACCAGUGGCGAAGGCGGGUCUCUGGACAGUUCCUGACGCUGAGGCACGAAGGUCAGGGGAGCAAACGGG